RNAcentral lists this ribosomal RNA (445 nucleotides) under uncultured bacterium. Its description in RNAcentral is "partial 16S ribosomal RNA". It matches the Rfam family "Bacterial small subunit ribosomal RNA", at positions 354 to 796 of the family's 1533-position model. The record is from RNAcentral.
GUGAGGAAUAUUGCGCAAUGGAGGCAACUCUGACGCAGCCAUGCCGCGUGCAGGAAGAAGGCGCUACGCGUUGUAAACUGCUUUUAACCGGGAAGAAACCCCAGGACGUGUCCUGGGUUGACGGUACCGGAGGAAUAAGCACCGGCUAACUUCGUGCCAGCAGCCGCGGUAAUACGAAGGGUGCAAGCGUUAUCCGGAUUCAUUGGGUUUAAAGGGUGCGUAGGCUGAGCGUUAAGUCAGUGGUGAAAUCCUGCAGCUUAACUGUAGACUUGCCAUUGAUACUGGCGCUCUUGAGUGCGCUUGAAGUGGGCGGAAUGUGCCGUGUAGCGGUGAAAUGCUUAGAUAUGGCACAGAACACCAAUUGCGAAGGCAGCUCACUAAGGCGAUACUGACGCUGAGGCACGAAAGCGUGGGGAUCGAACAGGAUUAGAAACCCUUGUAGUCC